Molecule: ribosomal RNA, 337 nt
Filed under: uncultured bacterium
Lineage: Bacteria
Description: bacterial SSU rRNA
Rfam family: Bacterial small subunit ribosomal RNA
Source: RNAcentral
ACAGAUCGUUCAGAGUUUGAUCCUGGCGUCAGGAUGAACGCUGGCGGCGUGCUUAACACAUGCAAGUCGAACGAUGAUCCCAGCUUGCUGGGGGAGUUAGUGGCGAACGGGUGAGUAACACGUGAGUAACCUGCCCUUGACUCUGGGAUAAGCCUGGGAAACUGGGUCUAAUACCGGAUAUGACUCCUCAUCGCAUGGUGGGGGGUGGAAAGCUUUUGUGGUUUCGGAUGGACUCGCGGCCUAUCAGCUUGUUGGUGGGGUAAUGGCCUACCAAGGCGACGACGGGUAGCCGGCCUGAGAGGGUGACCGGCCACACUGGGACCGAGACACGGCCCAG